GUGUCAGCAGCCGCGGUAAUACGGAGGGUGCAAGCGUUAUCCGGAUUCACUGGGUUUAAAGGGUGCGUAGGCGGGCAUGUAAGUCCGUGGUGAAAUCUCCGAGCUUAACUCGGAAACUGCCAUGGAUACUAUGUGUCUUGAAUGUUGUGGAGGUGAGCGGAAUAUGUCAUGUAGCGGUGAAAUGCUUAGAUAUGACAUAGAACACCAAUUGCGAAGGCAGCUCACUACACAAAUAUUGACGCUGAGGCACGAAAGCGUGGGGAUCAAACAGGAUUAGAAACCCGUGUAGUCC
This 292-nucleotide ribosomal RNA is filed under the name uncultured bacterium. RNAcentral describes it as "partial 16S ribosomal RNA". It matches the Rfam family "Bacterial small subunit ribosomal RNA", at positions 505 to 796 of the family's 1533-position model. The record is from RNAcentral.